AAGUCCAAGCUGUGUUCACACGGCGAGACCGCGGACGGCUCAUUAAAUCAGUCGUGGUCCAAAUGGGCCAGUGCAAAUCCUACUUGGAUAACUGUGGUAAUUCCAGAGCUAAUACAUGCAACUGAUAUCCCGAAGGCGGUGUAGGUGCUUGCUUGCCUUGCGCUUGCGCUGCUCUGACGGAUGCUUUUAUUAGACCAAGCCGCUGAGGACUUGAGGGUUCGCGCUCUCUUGUUUGACUCGUGUGAUGGUGACUCUGGAUAACCAAAUUCUGACAAGCGCACGUACUUCUCUUCUGAGCGAGACGGCGCUGCCACUUUCGAGUGUCUGCCUUAUCAGCUAUCAACCGUUCGUUAUGCGCGACCGAUGGCUUUGACGGGUAACGGGGAAUCAGGGUUCGAUUCCGGAGAGGCAGCCUGAGAGACGGCUACCACGUCCAAGGACGGCAGCAGGCACGCAAAUUACCCAAUCCCAGCAAAUGGGGGAGGUAGUGACGAAAUCUAACGAUGCGGGCGCCCUUUCUGGGGCCCCGCAAUCGGAAUGGGCACUUUCUAAACAACCUGUUGAGAACCUACUGAAGGGCAAGUCUGGUGCCAGCAGCCGCGGUAAUUCCAGCUUCAGCAGCAUCUAUUAAAGUUGCUGCGGUUAAAAGGCUCGCAGUUGAAUGUCUGUAUCGAGCGCAGGUCAGGUGGACGUU
RNAcentral lists this ribosomal RNA (694 nucleotides) under Pallasea cancelloides. RNAcentral describes it as "bacterial SSU rRNA". It matches the Rfam family "Eukaryotic small subunit ribosomal RNA", at positions 61 to 670 of the family's 1831-position model. The record is from RNAcentral. Lineage: Eukaryota; Metazoa; Arthropoda; Malacostraca; Amphipoda; Pallaseidae.